Molecule: long non-coding RNA, 710 nt
Organism: Corvus hawaiiensis (hawaiian crow)
Lineage: Eukaryota; Metazoa; Chordata; Aves; Passeriformes; Corvidae
Exons: 3
Source: RefSeq, a predicted model, not a curated record
CUCCCGGACUACGAGAACCUUGGAAGUACUUUUGGGCAUUAAGUUACUUCAGGAACUCCUAUCUAAACCAUCAGCUUCUUACUGGCUUACAAAAGUAAAAAAGGUUUUGUUAUCUGAAACAAAUGCACAUUUUUACUGUUGAUUUAAAAAUAUUUUUAGCUCAUGAACAUACCCAAAGCAUGAAGUGUCAAAUGUGAAUCUUUGUUAUUUUAUGAUUUCACGUAUGUGAAUUGGAUAGAUCAGCAUGCAAUUCUAUAGAUGAACAAGGUUUCAGAUCUACCUCCAAAACUCCAGCUGCUCCUUUUGCUAUUCUCACUUCCCUUGCUGAUCUUGCCUGGACACCUCAGGACAGGCCAAGGACAAGCUGCUGUCUGAGAGACCUGCAUUAUAAAGGUCACACAUCUGCACACAGCUGGAGCAGCAGUGAGAGACCAACCCUGCCAUACACUUACUCAGAAGUGGAUGGUCAUCCUGGGUACAGCUGUAUUUUCUAGAGAGGUGUUUGGAAACUCCUUUGAGGUACCUUUAAUCAGGAGGUUCUGCCUUGCAUCAUUACAAUCCAGUCCUUACUUUGUGCACCUCUACAUGGAAGACAACAGAAUAAGUCACAGGAAGAAGUUAUGCUGAGUGGAGCCUUCACCAGCAUGGGCAAGUCACUAGCCUUCUGCCAAGCUGAUGCAGGUCACCUGUUGUGAGCUGGAUGUGCUGUU